Molecule: long non-coding RNA, 997 nt
Filed under: Heterocephalus glaber (naked mole-rat)
Lineage: Eukaryota; Metazoa; Chordata; Mammalia; Rodentia; Bathyergidae
Description: lncRNA (ENSHGLG00100049749.1)
Source: RNAcentral
GGUUGCUGGAGGUGCCUCCGGGACGCGGCCGCAGCCCCGCGCCCGGCGGCCCGAGCAGGGCCGGGCUGGGGCUCCGGCUCCGGGCUCGGGCUCCCGCUUGGUGCGGAGCCGCGCGCAAACCUUCCGGGUCGCCUGCUGUUCACUUCUGGGUUCUGCAAGCGCCGAGGCGGCGGCGGCGGUGGCGGCGGCGGCGGGAGGCUGGGUCUGCGGCGUCGCGCGGCCCCCCGUGCGCUCCGCGAGCCACUGCGCCAGGCGCCCGGCUCCGGGUUGGGGGGCCGCGUUGGGCCCCCGCCUCUCCGGCUGCACAGCCCGUCCGGCCCCGGGGCUUCGCUCUGGAGGCCAAAAGUUCAACAUCAGGAUGUCAGUCAGCAGGGCUGUGCUCCUCUUAAGGUUCAAGAGGAGAAUCCUUCCUUGCCCCUUCCAUCUUCUGCAUUUCCCAUCAGUGAAGUGAGACUGAAAAGAAUGAGUACAUUUUCUCCAAGUUGCAAAAAGCGUCACGCAUGGAAAAUCUCAGGUAGUCACAUACAAUGUCAGAAUUAAACUAGCUUGGGUUCGGUUUCUUUGCCAUCACUCUGCCAUCAUCGCUUAUUUUGAGUCUCCGCUUUCAGUGCAAGGAUAUGCAACACAACAGGGGUUGGAGACACAGACUGCACCAGAGUUGCAGGACUGAGAAGAUCCAAAUUGAAUUUCCUCUGAAAACAAAUACAUGUUGCAGAGUCCACAUAGGCCCCAGCCAACUGUAUUCCUGCAAACUCCCCAAAUAAACGUGUACUUUGAACUCAAAGUUUAUUAAAAGGUAAAUAAUUAAAAAUUUCUAAUUUAAGGGCUGGGAGUGUAACUCAGUGGUAAUUUGCGAACAUGUACAAGGCCCUGGGUUUGAUCCCCAACAACCCCCCUCCAAAAAUUCUAAUUUGAAUUAUAUAUAUGUAUAUGAUUAUUUAUACAUAUAUUAUUGCUUAUAUAUAUGUAUAUAUAAUAUAUAUGAAUAUAUAAUUAA